GACGUAGGAUGCAAGCGUUGUCCGGAAUUAUUGGGCGUAAAGAGUUCGUAGGCGGCAUAUCAAGUCUAGUGUUAAAGCCCGGGGCUCAACUCCGGUAGGGCACUGGAUACUGAUAAGCUAGAGUGUAGUAGAGGCAAGGGGAAUUCCCAGUGUAGCGGUGAAAUGCGUAGAUAUUGGGAGGAACACCAGUGGCGUAAGCGCCUUGCUGGGCUAUAACUGACGCUGAGGAACGAAAGCCAGGGGAGCAAAUGGG
RNAcentral lists this ribosomal RNA (253 nucleotides) under uncultured bacterium. Its description in RNAcentral is "partial 16S ribosomal RNA". It matches the Rfam family "Bacterial small subunit ribosomal RNA", at positions 524 to 776 of the family's 1533-position model. The record is from RNAcentral.